GACGAACGCUGGCGGCGUGCUUAACACAUGCAAGUCGAACGCUGAAGCUCAGCUUUUGUUGGGUGGAUGAGUGGCGAACGGGUGAGUAACACGUGAGUAACCUGCCUCCUUCUUUGGGAUAACGCCCGGAAACGGGUGCUAAUACUGGAUAUUCACUGGUCUUCGCAUGGGGGUUGGUGGAAAGGGUUUUUCUGGUGGGGGAUGGGCUCGCGGCCGAUCAGCUUGUUGGUGGGGUGAUGGCCUACCAAGGCUUUGACGGGUAGCCGGACUGAGAGGGUGACCGGGCACAUGGGGACUGAGAUAGGGCCCAGACUCCUACGGGGGGCAGCAGUGGGGAAAAUUGCACAAUGGGCGCAAGACUGAUGCAGCGACGCCGCGUGAGGGAUGGAGGCCGUCGGGUUGUGAACCUCUUUCGCUCAUGGUCAAGCCGCAACAAUGGUUGUGGUGAGGGUAGUGGGUAAAGAAGCGCCGGCUAACUACGUG
Molecule: ribosomal RNA, 483 nt
Filed under: uncultured bacterium
Lineage: Bacteria
Description: partial 16S ribosomal RNA
Rfam family: Bacterial small subunit ribosomal RNA
Source: RNAcentral